UUAGUAUAUACCCAUAUGUUGAUGAUGUAUAUACCACUGCCACUUGGAGAUCAUUAUAUGAGGAAACUAUUAAUCCAAUAGGUGUUCCUGAAGAUGAAUGGCGCGUCCCAGAGGUUGUUGAAUCUGCAAAAGUUUUACCACCUGCAACAAGAAGACAACCUGGUAGACGAAGAAAACGAAGAUAUAAAUCAGCUGAAGACAAGAUAAAAGCAUCACAACAGUCACAAUUAUCAAAAAAGCAUAAGUGCGGUCGUUGUGGUAAAGAAGGCCAUAAUCGAGUAACAUGUGAUGUAACAAUAUAAGGAUUAUGUUGCAACUGCUCUCAUUGAACGUUUCUAGUUACCACUAUAUGGAUUUUGAACUUCUUUCUCAUUUCAUGAUUAUUUUCGCAUUUUUUAUUUCAGAUUUGAAUUUCCUAGUACUCUAUGUUUGAAUUUUUGUUCUCAUAAUUGGAAUCCCUACUACUCUUAUGUUCGUGGUUUUGCUUUGAGUUUCGGAUUGACUUAUCACUAAAUUAA
This is a long non-coding RNA of Arabidopsis lyrata subsp. lyrata, 518 nucleotides long. RefSeq lists it as uncharacterized. The record is from RefSeq and is a predicted model, not a curated record. The transcript has 2 exons. NCBI's taxonomy places the organism in Eukaryota, Viridiplantae, Streptophyta, Magnoliopsida, Brassicales, Brassicaceae.